GGUUUUAUGAAGUAAAAUAUAAAAUCUGGCCUGCUCUAUGUUUAAAUAAAUGGCCGCGGUAUUAUGACCGUGCUAAGGUAGCAUAAUAAUUAGGCUAUUAAUUGUAGUCUUGUAUGAAAGGUUGGACGUGGAAUAUCCUUUCUUAUUUGUAUGGAUGAAUUUAAAUAACCAGUAAAAAUGCUGGUAUAAUGUAGAAAGACGAGAAGACCCUAUUGAGUUUUAUAUUUGCAUUAUGUUGUUAUUAGGUUUUUGUUUUUUGUUUAAUAUUUAGUUGGGGCGAUUAUUUUAAGGAAACAUAAUUUUAAUUUAAGUUUUAGUUUUUGAUCCAUUAAUAAUGAUUAAAAGAAUAAAUUACCAUAGGGAUAACAGCAUUAUUUAGUUGGAGAGUUCAUAUUGAUAGCUAAGUUUGUGACCUCGAUGUUGGAUUAAGAUUCCUUAGUGGGUGCAGGUGCUCUGUUGAGGUAGACUGUUCGUCUAUUAAAAUCUU
Molecule: ribosomal RNA, 487 nt
Filed under: Scolopendra subspinipes
Lineage: Eukaryota; Metazoa; Arthropoda; Chilopoda; Scolopendromorpha; Scolopendridae
Description: partial 16S ribosomal RNA
Rfam family: Bacterial large subunit ribosomal RNA
Source: RNAcentral